Molecule: long non-coding RNA, 778 nt
Organism: Heterocephalus glaber (naked mole-rat)
Lineage: Eukaryota; Metazoa; Chordata; Mammalia; Rodentia; Bathyergidae
Source: RefSeq, a predicted model, not a curated record
CUCAGCCAAGCAGCUUCCUAUCCUACUGAAUCUGAGGCAAGAAAUGCUAGUUGAUACCUCUGUAUUUUGGUAAUUUGUUAUGCAACAUUCCAUGACCAGAGCCUGAGACUAACAAGCAGUUCAAGAAACCCCAAGAGAUUCUUGGAACCACUCUCCUGAGGAUAGGAGAAUCUGCUUUCCAAGCUGCAACGGUGGAAGAGUGGUUUAGAAUGCAAAUGCUGGUGUGGGAUUGUGAAGAUGCCACCAGCCUCCUGGCAGCGAGGACUCUGAACAUCAGUAUGAGGAAUGCUGCUAGUACAUAAUACAGUACAACAGAGAAGGAUGUGGUUGGGGUCCUGGUGAUAUACUGGAUCACCUAUUAACAUUCCUUUGCUCAUUUUGAUGGUACAUAGACAAACACAGCAGUCAUCCUAAGAAGGGUGUGGACAUCAGCGUCAGGAGUGAAGGUCUGGGUUAUGCCAACAGUGUGGAUCCUGAAGCCAUUUCUUCACACUAAUCUCCAGCCCACAGCAUUUUCCCUGGGAAACCUAUCUCAACUGGAAUAUUAUUGGCAUACCUGAUGAAAUCUGCCCUUCUAACCCCCUCGGAGAAUUAUUAACUGCACUCCCCAGAGCCUCAGCGACAGCAUUUGCCUCCAGGGCCCAAGACAACAGCAAGGCUGGUGAUCAGAACCUGCUCUUCCUAUGUCCUCAUAACAACCCACUGAGACAGAGACAGACGUGCCCAUUUCACACAUGAUACAGAGUGGAGCUGUCUUCCUGGUCACACAGGGGCUCGG